UGGGUGGCGAGUGGCGGACGGGUGAGGAAUACAUCGGAAUCUACUCUGUCGUGGGGGAUAACGUAGGGAAACUUACGCUAAUACCGCAUACGACCUACGGGUGAAAGCAGGGGAUCUUCGGACCUUGCGCGAUUGAAUGAGCCGAUGUCGGAUUAGCUAGUUGGCGGGGUAAAGGCCCACCAAGGCGACGAUCCGUAGCUGGUCUGAGAGGAUGAUCAGCCACACUGGAACUGAGACACGGUCCAGACUCCUACGGGAGGCAGCAGUGGGGAAUAUUGGACAAUGGGCGCAAGCCUGAUCCAGCCAUACCGCGUGGGUGAAGAAGGCCUUCGGGUUGUAAAGCCCUUUUGUUGGGAAAGAAAUCCAGCCGGCUAAUACCUGGUUGGGAUGACGGUACCCAAAGAAUAAGCACCGGCUAACUUCGUGCCAGCAGCCGCGGUAAUACGAAGGGUGCAAGCGUUACUCGGAAUUACUGGGCGUAAAGCGUGCGUAGGUGGUCGUUUAAGUCCGUUGUGAAAGCCCUGGGCUCAACCUGGGAACUGCAGUGGAUACUGGGCGACUAGAGUGUGGUAGAGGGUAGCGGAAUUCCUGGUGUAGCAGUGAAAUGCGUAGAGAUCAGGAGGAACAUCCAUGGCGAAGGCAGCUACCUGGACCAACACUGACACUGAGGCACGAAAGCGU
This 681-nucleotide ribosomal RNA is filed under the name Pseudomonas sp. faro5_22. RNAcentral's name for it is "bacterial SSU rRNA". It matches the Rfam family "Bacterial small subunit ribosomal RNA", at positions 85 to 762 of the family's 1533-position model. Lineage: Bacteria; Pseudomonadati; Pseudomonadota; Gammaproteobacteria; Pseudomonadales; Pseudomonadaceae. The record is from RNAcentral.